GGGUCGUUAGCUCAGUCGGUAGAGCAGUUGACUCUUAAUCAAUUGGUCGUAGGUUCGAACCCUACACGACCCACCA
This 76-nucleotide transfer RNA is filed under the name Klebsiella pneumoniae. Its description in RNAcentral is "tRNA-Lys". It matches the Rfam family "tRNA". From Rfam's summary of the family: Transfer RNA (tRNA) molecules are approximately 80 nucleotides in length. Their secondary structure includes four short double-helical elements and three loops (D, anti-codon, and T loops). The record is from RNAcentral. RNAcentral also lists the same sequence under 31 other names. Lineage: Bacteria; Pseudomonadati; Pseudomonadota; Gammaproteobacteria; Enterobacterales; Enterobacteriaceae.